UGGCUCAGUGGUAGAGUGCUUGCCUUGAAUGCAUGAAGCCCUGGGUUCGAUUCCUGA
This 57-nucleotide transfer RNA is filed under the name Dipodomys ordii (Ord's kangaroo rat). It matches the Rfam family "tRNA", at positions 8 to 63 of the family's 71-position model. Rfam says of the family: Transfer RNA (tRNA) molecules are approximately 80 nucleotides in length. Their secondary structure includes four short double-helical elements and three loops (D, anti-codon, and T loops). Lineage: Eukaryota; Metazoa; Chordata; Mammalia; Rodentia; Heteromyidae. The record is from Rfam by way of RNAcentral.